Molecule: long non-coding RNA, 8557 nt
Filed under: Capsicum annuum
Lineage: Eukaryota; Viridiplantae; Streptophyta; Magnoliopsida; Solanales; Solanaceae
Description: long non-coding RNA (CANN_LNC020299)
Source: RNAcentral
GAUUUGUUUCGAAGAAGAAUUGUUUUUACAUUUGAAAUCAGAGUCGCCACUUGACAUAAUCUGGUGUGCCAAGUCACCAUUGAAAAAUUCUUUACAAAACCAUUUGACUCUUUAAACUGGUUUGCGAACAGAGAUUCCAGCUAAGGAAUUCUGUUGACUGAGGGGAAGGUGUUAGGCACCCCUCGAUCCCGUGGUUCGACCACAGUCGCUUGGUGAAACAUAUCAGCUAAUUCGACACUAAGAGUGUAUAAACCAUACAAAACCAAUCAAUCAAACAAACAAACAAAUCCAAAAUUAUAGUGUUCAGUCUAAUUAUUACAAUCCAAAAAUAGAAAAUGCGAAAAAUAUAAAUCCUAUUCUAAGCUAGUCCUAGACUAAGCUCCAAUGCUUCACCCGAUGCCUUGAGCCUUGAUCACGAACCUCCUUCGAAGACAUAAUGCAUUGGGGCAUUCCCCGGUGAAUAAAUACAUGAAACCUCGGGCAUUCCCCGGCCAAACGAAUACACUCGAAUCAAAUACGAUAAACUAGGAAGAAAUAUUCGCACGCAUAUUCAAACAUUCAACUAAAACACAAGUUCUAAAUUUGCUUACCCGAACCUACAUUUGCCUAUCCGACUAUCAUGAUACUAUCGUGUUCAACAACAUCAAUGAAACAAAAUUAUCUAAAUUUACUUUUACCAAGACCAAUUCCUUCCCGCAUUCAUUCACAAAAUAAUUAAUCAAUGCUUCGACUUUCAAGUUUCCACAUUCAAAUUCAACAUCAACCAACCUAUAACAAAGAUUCAAAUAUGCUCAAACAAUAAAUCAUUUUCAAUUAAUUAACCAACUUCAACGUAGAAUCACCCAAAAUAAUUAGACUUGCUCAACCGCAUAAUCAAGAUCAUAUCAUCAACCAAAGCAUUCCAUCUAUAACAUCGGAUAUCGUAAAUAAAGAAAUCAAAUAGUAGAGGUUAGAAAUGGACCUGAUUCAAAAUUUUCGGAGAAUGUUAUAAGAAAAUACACUUCCGCGAACCUCAACUUGAGCCACGACAACGACAAAUCCAACUCAAAUUAAAUCCUCAACUUACAAACCUAAAAUUACAGAUUUCGACUUAACCAUCUAUAUAUCUCGGCAUACCCGGAACUGAAUUUGUUGUUUCCAUCUCGCCGGAGCUCCGGCGAGGUCAAAUAAAGACAAAAAGAGGAGGGUUGUUAAGUUUCGAUCAGAGUUUUAGGUAUUCUUGCUGGUUUCGGCGUUUUUGGCUGUUGAGUAGUGGUGGGUUGGUGUUUUUCGAUCGCCAAUUUCACAUUUUUUCGCUGACUAUUGACGUUUUUUGACGACACGGUCGCCAUAGCAGUGACCAAACACCACCUCUACCUUUCCUUCGAUUCUCACCUUUAUCUCUCUCUAUCUCUCUUGAUCUCUCUCUAUGUAUUCGAGAAUCUGUUCGUGUGUGUGAUACUCAGUGAUGGUAUGUGAGUGUGUUCUAUGGAGAAAAAUAAAAGCUAAUCCAAAAAUUCCCCCACUGACCGUGUAUCUAUGUUGCUGUGUAUAUACUCCUUUUUAAUGAAAAAAAUGCGUCCCUCUGCGAUGAAUAUUGUGAGGAUAAAAAAAUGUGAGUGGGUAGGGAGGUGUAAGCUUUUGAUUGGGUAGGUUGUUAGGAUAAGAUAAAUUAGUUAGAGGUAUUUUUUUUUAUUUUUUUUUGUAUUUUUGUGGGAUAUAAUUACAUGGGGUUGGACACAUGGUAAGGUGAACUAAAAAUGAAUAAAAUUAGNNNNNNNNNNNNNNNNNNNNNNNNNNNNNNNNNNNNNNNNNNNNNNNNNNNNNNNNNNNNNNNNNNNNNNNNNNNNNNNNNNNNNNNNNNNNNNNNNNNUAUCUACAUCAUGCCCCCUUUGAAUGUAAACACGAAGUGUUUUUAGACAAAGAAGUAGACAGCGAGACCAAAUUUUGACCCGACCAUUAUUCGAAGAAAGAAACAGAAGGAAGAAGGACAACCGGGUCUUGACUUAAGACAUCCUACCUACCUAAGUUAUGAGAGACUCAAGUCACGGGUAUUUCAAGGAUUGGAAAGAGAAGGACUAUGCCGAGUUGGAGAGUCGAGUGAGGCUCCAUCAAGGUUCCGGUCCACGGCUCUGUCAUUACAUUAAAAUGAAAAUUACAAGUUAAAGCAUAAAUGAAAUUACAAAAAUCCUAUCUAUACAACUUCUUUUGGACUCUUGACUUGAGUUUCAUCACCCUAUUCUUCUGGCGGGCUCCUGACUUGCUAUUUCUUUAACCUGUCGCUUGCCUUUCAAUUUCUUCACCCUGUUCUCCAGGGGGGUUCCUGACUUGCUAUUUCAUCAACUUAUUGCCAUGCUUUCAACUUCUGCACCCUGUUCUUCAGGUGGGCUCGUAACUUGCUAUUUCUUUAACGUGUCGCUUGCCUUUCAAUUUCUUCACCCUGUUCUCCUGGAUUUCUGACUUGCUAUUUCGUCAACUUGUUGCCAUGCUUUCAACUUCUGCACCCUAAUCUGUAGGCGGGCUCCUGACUUGCUAUUUUUAUCAACUUGUUGCUAUGCUUUCAAUUUCUUUACCCUGUUCUGCAGGCGGGCUCCUGACUUGCUAUUUCAUCAACUUGUUGCUAUGCUUUCAAUUUCUUCACCCUGUUCUACAGGCGGGCUCCUGACUUGCUAUUUCAUCAACUUGUUGCUAUGCUUUCAAUUUCUUNNNNNNNNNNNNNNNNNNNNNNNNNNNNNNNNNNNNNNNNNNNNNNNNNNNNNNNNNNNNNNNNNNNNNNNNNNNNNNNNNNNNNNNNNNNNNNNNNNNNNNNNNNNNNNNNNNNNNNNNNNNNNNNNNNNNNNNNNNNNNNNNNNNNNNNNNNNNNNNNNNNNNNNNNNNNNNNNNNNNNNNNNNNNNNNNNNNNNNNNNNNNNNNNNNNNNNNNNNNNNNNNNNNUCUUAUAGGAAUCAAAGGGGAUGACUCGACUAAAAGGUACGUCUUAUAAGAAUCAGAGGGGAUGACUUGACUAAAAGGUACGUCUUAUAGGAAUCAAUAGGAAUGACGCAACUAAAAGGUACAUCUUAUAGGAAUCAAAGAAGAUGACUCGACUAAAAGGUACGUCUUAUAGGAAUCAAAGGGGAUGACUCGACUAAAAGGUACGUCUUCUAGGAAUCAAGACUUAAGUUAGGAAGUACAUUAACUAAGAAGCAAAAUUCGAAUUACCCAAUCAAGGAAGUGUGUUUCCUUAUCAAUGAUUUUUGAAUUAUCAAAACAAGGAACUGCGUCUCCUAGAGAUCUUGAAUUAUGAGUUUUACCAUGAUUUUGGUUACCAAACCUGUGCAGCAACCUUGCCUCUUGCAUUUGUUGAGGUGAGAAAUUACGGCCUUUGAUGUUUAGGCUCUGAAAUCCUUGAUCUGAAUGCAACAUGUAUUCCUAUUACAUACAAAGAAAACUUGUGAGUUUAAAAACAUAGUGGCUAGUUUGUGGUUUUGGCUUUUGAGGCAAUUGCUCCUGCCCCCGUCAUAUUUAGCUUUGCUUCCAACCAUUAGCAUAUGUCAUUGACUUGCUGUAUCAUUGACUCAAACUCAUCUUAUUAAGAGUGACUCUGAAACAAACACAGUAUUUCUGCUUUGUCGUGUUUCUCAAAUAAACCCUUUGAACCUUGGUAUUUCCAUGAGCUCCCUGACUUCUCUGUUGACAAAACUUCCUGCAUGCCCUUUUUUGGGCUUACAAUCAUGUCUCUUUUAUGUGCUAGCUUUUUUCUUGCUUUGUGCAAUUAAAGAAGCUGGUAGCCAGUUUUGAAAUCUUUUCUCACUUGUUUUGACACGGACUUGACUCAAAGACAAGAAACAAAAAAAAAGAAUGACAAUUUUUGUUUUGAUAACUGGCUUAAGAAAGAUAAAAAUUAAAAUAAAGAGAAGAAAGAAAAGACAAUGAAUGUCCCCUUUUAAAACAAAGAAACAAAAAAUUUAUCUAAAAAUGACAGUCAAUAUUAAUGAUUAUGCCAUGCAUUUUGGAUUAAGCAUCUUGAUAUUUUCAUCCAAACUUUCUACCCAUUGUUGUUGAGUUAAUGGCUUUGAAACUGAGUUGUUUUCUUAGGUCAAUUACAUUUAAGACCCCAUUCGGCUAGUGGCGCCUUGAAGGGGUUUCGUCAACAAGCUUCUUUCAUUUUCUCUCGGCUCACUAUCGCCUUAUGGUGCCCGUGAGGGUUUUCACCAAUAAAACUCUCUCAUUUUUAUAUCUCUCAACUUACCAUCGCCUUAUGGUGCCCGCAAGGGUUUUCACCAAGGAUGACACGGUGUUUGGUUAGCAUAAUGAAAUGCCUUUUUCAUAUCAAUUCUUGAAAAUGCUAGUACAUAGCAUGCAAUGUGAAAGUGCACAAUCAAGAUCACUUAUAAUGUUUUACAACACUAACUUGCCCCGAGCAUGUGUGCCACCUCUUUUUUUACACUUGCCCAGCAUACAACUCCACUUUGUUGUACAUUCCUCAUGUUGAAGGACUCAUGAUUUCGUGGAGCUAAUUUUCUUCCUGUUCCUCUUGAUAGGAUCAUAUAGACACUGUUUGACCUAAUUAAGACAUGUCUUUCAAUUGAUGACCAAGUUAUUCUCACGAUUUUCAAAUAAAUAGACUUAAUUUUCAAAGAAGGUUUCCACUUGAUCACCAAAUGCCCCAGCACUCUAUCUAUUUCCUCAGAUGCUCUCUUUUUCUAACUUUAACCCUCUGAUUCAAUUUUCAUUCUUAAACUGGAUGUUAAGAUCUAGCUGUAAAUUUCACUAGCAUAUCAUAUCACUAGAGUCAACAUAAAAUGUACUAUGUAAAAAAACAAACAAACAACACAUAUUUAAAACACAAAGAAAAAGGGAACACUCCAUUUAAUAAAAAUAAAAGAUAGAAGGGUUUGAACAUAAAUGACAAAGGGACAAAAUAAGAUAGAUCCCAAAAUACAAUCCUGAAAUAAUUCGAAAAACAAAAAAGAAGACAAAACAAACUACCAGACCUCUUUCUAGUAGGGAGAGGAGUGACUUUUCAAUUGCUCAGCCUGACAUAUUAGCCACUGGUUUGCAUAUCAACAUGACUGGAGCUUCCAUCACUGUCAGACACAUUUCUUUCAACAAAUAAGCUCUGGAUCCCCAUGCUUAACUCGUUGCCUCCCACAUAUUGUGCAGUACCGCGUGCUGGUAAAGAACUCUGUGGUAUGGUCGAAGGGCCAAUGUUUUGCACCACAAUCAAUUUAUCUUGAAUUAUCUUUUCUAUUUCUCUUUUCAAAGUGCGACAAUCUUCAGUACUAUGACCCUGAACAUCAGAAUGAUAUGCACAUCGCACAUUAGGAUCAAAGCUUCUUGACUGCGGGUCAGGAGUAUACCUAAGGAGAGGAGUGAUCAUGCCCUGCUGUACCAAUUUCUAGAAUAAACUGGCAUAAGAUUCCCCAAUAGGAGUGAAAUUAUCUUUUUCCUUCCUCCUCUUUCCAAACUCUGGCCUCGGAUGAAAUUUGGAUUUAGAGGUCCCUUGGUAAAUUUGUGGGGGUCGAGGACAAUGUUGAGGGACAGGUGCAUGCCAUUGUGGAUAAGAAGAUGGAUGAGCAUACAAUUGUGCAUUAUUCACAGGAUAUCNNNNNNNNNNNNNNNNNNNNNNNNNNNNNNNNNNNNNNNNNNNNCAAGUGGUUAUGUGGAUCUGAUAUGUAAGCUCGGGAUUGAGGCUGACAGUAUUGGUGGGUUGGACCUCUCAAACUCUGCUUUGGCCCUGUUAUGACAAUAGGUGCGUUUUCCUUCUUCUUUCCUUUAGUUUUCCUUGGUUGAUUGCAAUGUCGUCCCGAAUGUUUUACAGAAUCCUUCUAUCUAUCAGGCUCCCAAAAUUUUAAUGUCUCAAAGCUGGGAGGAAGUUAAACACUUAAAGACAUGCCCCAGUUUUUAUAUGAAACAUCUUCAUAGUCCAUAAGUCCAGGAGAAUUUUUCAUAUCAUUUUCUACACUCUUCACUUUCCCAACCAUUUUCUCUGGCUCUUUUGGCAUGCUAGGCUUCUUAGUAAGAAAUUUUGGCAGUUCACUUAACUUAACUGUAGGCUCAAGAGUAUACCAAUGAUCAUCAAUAGUAUUGAACGUGGAGUCACUAGUGGACUGGGGAAGCACAAUCGUUAGAUUGAUAGACAAAGUGGAAGCCUUAGUAGAAGGUUGACCAACAAAAGCACAGACGGUAUGUGGUGCUGUGAAUGUGGUAGACUUAUACUGAGGAGAUAAAGAAAGAGUGGUGGAAGUGUUGAGGUGCAUCUGGCGUGGAAUGGAUUCUGAGGCAUGCUGUAGUUCAUCAACAACAGUAGGAAACUGACUUUCCGAUUUUGCUGGAAGACUCAAGGUAUUUGUAGGGUCAAAAGUGGGGAACGAAGGUGGAGGCAGCCCACUACCCCAAGCUCGGUACAUUCCCAUCAUUUGUUGUCUCAGUCUCAAAUUCUCUUUCUUUAAACUCUCAAUUUCCUGACUCUUUGUUUCAUCCAUGAUGCCACUCUCUAUAUCCUUGUUAAACAUAACUAACCCUUCCUUGGAUUUGGUGUGAUAUGGAGGACCAGCCAAGAAACCACAAACCAACCACCUUAAACUAACUGAACAAGAGGCAACAAAUAUGUUAGAGUUCAACAUUUUUCAAAACCUCUUUUUUUUCUUGAAAAAAAUCACCGAACCCUAGAAGGGCGCCUACGUAUCUCACCCCCGACAGGGGAGAAUCAGGCGUGCGUACUUCAUGAAGUCUUGCCCAAAAUGGCAAAUUAAACUCUUUUUUCAUUUUUUUGCUUGAAACUUUAAGAAGAAAAGAAAAUAACAAUUUGUCAAAAGAAUUGACGAACAUCUUUUUGCAUUUUUUACUUUUAAAAUACCUGUACAAAACGAAACCUAUGAUUACCAAAGAAAAAUCUUUUGGGGUUUUUCAAUUUUGAAUUUCAUAUGAAAAUGAAACUUGAACCUAUUAAAGAAAAAUCUUUUUGUAGUUUUCUUUUAAAGAUGUAUAUGAAACGCCUACUCUAAAUGAAGAGUGAAGAAAAUCUUUUUGAAUUUUUGAAAUAAGAUCAACCAAAAAUGAAACCUACGACUAUUGAGAAAUUUUUUUUUUUGUAUUUUUCUUUUCAAUACAUGUAUGAAACACCUACUCUAAAUGAAGAGUGAAAAAAAAAUCCUUUUAAUUUUUUUUUUUAAAUAAGAUCCCCGAACCAACAAAAGGCUGUCUACGUAUCUCACAUCCCGAAAGAGGAGAAUCAGGGGUGCGUAGUUCGUCCAGAUUGGACAAUUAAUGAUUAAAUAACAGGCUAGACCCUAACUUAAGAGAUACGACCAAAGAAAGACGAUGAACCAUGUUAAUAAAAUCUUUUGAGUUUUCAUUUUGAUAUUUCACAGAAAAAUGACAUCAACAACUAUGAAAGAAAUUUUUUUUGGUAUUUUCGUUAUACGAAAUGUAAAAAAAUUCUAACAUCUUCUUUUUUUUUUUUUGCAUUUUUCUUUUAUAAACACAUCCUAUGAAUGAAAAAAAUCUUUUUGAAGUUUUCGAAUUAUGAAUGCAUGCUAAACGAGACAAAGGAAAAUCUUUUUGAUGUUUUUGAGAAAAUAAGUGCGGGAGGUAAAAAAGUCCUUUUGAAUUUUGGAAUUUUGAAAAAUAAAAGCCAUAAAAAACUCUAAAAACUAUGAAACUCUGUUUUUUUUGCUUGUUUUUUUCAUUACCCACGCACUUUACUUCUAACACAUGUUUUUCCCAAAUCAGUCCGUCAAAUGACCACGUUAUCCUCAAAGAUGUAACAUUUAGCACAUAGGGAUGCUUUAGAGGUGAGUCUCCUACAAAGGACCAAGUGGUCCCCACUAUAUCUCAAUAUGAUACACAUAAGCGUGACCUAAAGGCUGACGUACGUUGGGGUUCACUAACAAGGGUGUUCGGGGGAGCAUAUAGUCGAUAGUGGCUGCUUUGCUUUCCACCUACUCCAUAACACCGACGGCUCCCCCUAAAAAUAAGGGUGACUCAACUAGAGGUCGUGUACAACACGUGUACUAUGGACUUGUUGCAGAAAGAAGACCUGGGCGUAGACACAUGAUGCUAGAUAUAAAAACGGUAAUAUAUAGGAUAAAUACUGUACACAAAGAGCAUGAAAACGCACAACAGUGAUAACAAUAACACAAACAUUAAUCAUAAACAAUGUUUAUACACCCAUAAUGCCAAACAAAGCCGAUACGACUCCAAAAAUAAGCUCGAAUUCUGAAAAGAUCCCCAGCAAAGUCGCCAGAGCUGUCACACCCCUUUUUUCAACAUCCAAAAAAGAUUCGGUUUUGGGUUUGAAAGGGUUUUUAUUAUUAAGUGACAAAAGAAAAUGAUUUGUUUUGAAAAAGGAUUGUUUUUACAUUUGAAAUCAGAGUCGCCACUUGGCAUAAUCAGGUGUGCCAAGUCACCAUUGAAAAAUCCUUUUCAAAACCAUUUGACUCUUUAAACUGGUUUGCGAACAGAGAUUCCAGCUAAGGAAUUCUGUUGACCGAGGGGAAGGUGUUAGGCACCCCUCGAUCCCGUGGUUCGACCACGGUCGCUUGGUGGAACAUAUUGGCUAAUUUGACACUAAGAGUGUAUAAACCACACAAAAA